RNAcentral lists this ribosomal RNA (92 nucleotides) under Periophthalmus magnuspinnatus. Lineage: Eukaryota; Metazoa; Chordata; Actinopteri; Gobiiformes; Gobiidae. The record is from RNAcentral.
UCUCAUUUGUCUAACCUUUGAAGCUAAGCAGGAUUGGGCCUGCUCAGUACUUAGAUUGGAGACCAUUGGGAAAAUCAGGGCCAUAGUGGGGC